UGGUAGAGGAUGGUAGAAUUUCAGGUGUAGCGGUGAAAUGCGUAGAGAUAGGGAGGAACACCAAUGGCGAAGGCAGCCAUCUGGCCUGAUACUGACGCUGAGGUGCGAAAGCAUGGGGAGCAAACAGGAUUAGAUACCCUGGUAGUCCAUGCCGUAAACGAAGUCGACUAGCCGUUGGGACCUUUGAGAUUUUAGUGGCGCA
This 202-nucleotide ribosomal RNA is filed under the name Exiguobacterium alkaliphilum. RNAcentral's name for it is "partial 16S ribosomal RNA". It matches the Rfam family "Bacterial small subunit ribosomal RNA", at positions 649 to 850 of the family's 1533-position model. Lineage: Bacteria; Bacillati; Bacillota; Bacilli; Caryophanales. The record is from RNAcentral.